AUUGAACGCUGGCGGAAUGCUUUACACAUGCAAGUCGAGCGGCAGCGCGGCCUUCGGGCUGGCGGCGAGCGGCGAACGGGUGAGUAAUGCAUCGGAACAUGCCCAGUCGUGGGGGAUAACACUUCGAAAGAAGUGCUAAUACCGUAUACGUCCUGAGGGGGAAAGCGGGGGAUCGCAAGACCUCGCGCGAUUGGAGUGGCCGAUGUCAGAUUAGCUAGUUGGUGGGGUAAAGGCCUACCAAGGCGACGAUCUGUAGCUGGUCUGAGAGGAUGAUCAGCCACACUGGGACUGAGACACGGCCCAGACUCCUACGGAGGCAGCAGUGGGGAAUUUUGGACAAUGGGGGCAACCCUGAUCCAGCCAUUCCGCGUGAGUGAAGAAGGCCUUCGGGUUGUAAAGCUCUUUCGGCAGGAACGAAACGGUGGGCUCUAACAUAGUCCGCUAAUGACGGUACCUGAAGAAGAAGCACCGGCUAACUACGUG
RNAcentral lists this ribosomal RNA (483 nucleotides) under uncultured bacterium. RNAcentral's name for it is "partial 16S ribosomal RNA". It matches the Rfam family "Bacterial small subunit ribosomal RNA", at positions 30 to 507 of the family's 1533-position model. The record is from RNAcentral.